RNAcentral lists this ribosomal RNA (321 nucleotides) under uncultured bacterium. RNAcentral describes it as "bacterial SSU rRNA". It matches the Rfam family "Bacterial small subunit ribosomal RNA", at positions 84 to 422 of the family's 1533-position model. The record is from RNAcentral.
GCAAUACACGAGCGGCAGACGGGAGAGUAACACGUGGGAACGUACCCUUCAGUUCGGAAUAACCCAGGGAAACUUGGACUAAUACCGAAUACGUCCGUAAGGAGAAAGAUUUAUCGCUGAAGGAUCGGCCCGCAGCUGAUUAGCUAGUUGGUGGGGUAACGGCUCACCAAGGCGACGAUCGGUAGCUGGUCUGAGAGGAUGAUCAGCCUCACUGGGACUGAGACACGGCCCAGACUCCUACGGGAGGCAGCAGUGGGGAAUAUUGGACAAUGGGCGCAAGCCUGAUCCAGCCAUGCCGCGUGGGUGAUGAAGGCCCUAGGG